RNAcentral lists this ribosomal RNA (2864 nucleotides) under Triticum aestivum (bread wheat). RNAcentral's name for it is "partial small subunit ribosomal RNA". The record is from RNAcentral. Lineage: Eukaryota; Viridiplantae; Streptophyta; Magnoliopsida; Poales; Poaceae.
CUCGGCGGCAGCCCAGCCCAGCCGGCCAGGCUGGCCGAGGACGAGGCCAUCAUUAUGAGCAGCAGCGGCGGCCGCUUUCCUCCACACACACACACACACCAUUAUUUUCCUCUCCCUCCUCCUGACCACCCACCCACCCACCAGCCACCAAGGCGGCCGAUCUCCCCUCACCGCCACCGCUACCGCCGACGCCGCAGCUCCGGCAGCCGUUCGUCUCGAGGAACUAAAAACAGCUGCAUGGCGGGGGUCCAGGAACGGCAAUACGAAGAGUUCUUUGGUGGGUUUUACUUCGAUGAAGAUGCGUUAAGCAAGGAUAUAUCACUGGAUGGGCUGGACAAGGAACUUGAGGAGCACAAGAACUAUGAUGUGCUAAUAAGUAUUCUAACCAACGGUGAAAAACAGCGUGACAUGGCAACCAUGGUGGAAGGCAACCUAGGCCAUAUUGAACAGGAUCUGAUUCAAGAUUAUAUAAAAGAUAAUGACAGCCUAGUUCUGUUGCAUGAUCAGAUUCAUGACUGUGACAUUGUUUUAUCUCAAAUAGGAUCACUUCUUAGUGGAUUUCAGGUUCACAUUGGUUCUUUAAGCUCGGAACUUAGAAGUCUCCACGAGAAAUCCUUGGACUUGGGUGUGAGGCUGAAGAACCGGAAGUUGGCUGAGACAAAGCUUGCAGCAUUUGUCGAAGAAAUUGUCGCUCCUCCUGGUUUGGUGAAUGCUAUAAUUGAUGGAGAGUUUCUUUUGGCAGGUAAAUGAUGAUUAUAUCAAAAGUCUAAACAUGUUGAGCAAAAAGUUAAGAUUUGCUCAAGUUGAUCCAUUGCUUAAUGCAUCAAAAGCUCUGAAAGAUAUUAAGCAAGAACUGGAAAGGCUUCGGAAAAAGGCACUAUCAAAGGUGUCCGCCUAUGUCAUUGGGAUAUUCUCUUCCAUGAGAAAGCCUGGAACUAAUAUCCAGAUACUUCAACAAAAUUUGCUUCAGAAGUAUAGGCAUCUUGUUCUCUUUCUUAAAGAGCAUGGAAUCGAGAAAUAUAAUGAUGUCUGUGCAGCAUAUGUUGAUAAAAUGAACAAGGUGCUGAGUGAAGAUUUUCGUGUGUACCUAGAAGCAUUGGAGAGUUUGAAGCUAGAUAUUGGUGUAUCCACUGAUGUGAUUGGAUAUGACGCCAAUGUCGUAGACCUUAUACCAAGGGGGAGAGAGCAACUGAGAAAUCAUCGUUUCAUGUUUUCUUUAGGUGAACGAUCAAACAUUUUGAAGGAGAUUGAUCAGCCUGGCUUGGUACCUUGUAUAUCUGAAGCUAAUUCCUUGAAAUACCCAUAUGAAGUUAUUUUUAGGAGCCUACAAAAGCUUCUGAUGGACACUGCUAGCUCUGAGUAUAUUUUUAUCAAAGCAUUCUUUCGCGAUGAGUCGAUGUUUUAUCGAGUUUUUGAAGGACCUGUUGCAGUAAUUGAUGAAAACAUGAAGCUUACUCUUGCAAAUAGUCAUGAUGCAAUAUGCCUGAUGCUCAUGAUCUGCAUAACUAAAAAGCACCAGCUGGUUAUGUCCAACAGGCGGCUUCCUUGUCUAGAUACAUAUUUGGAUAAGGCUCUGAUCUAUCUCUGGCCACGUUUCAAGACAGUGUUUGACAUGUAUAUUCAAAGCUUGUACCAAUGUGAUGCGAAAAUGUUAUGGGUGGAUGGGACCCAUCCACACCACAUUGUAAGGUGCUACAUGGAGUUCACAGCAUCUCUUAUUCAACUUAAUGCUGAAUGUGGAGAUGGUCAGCUUGAUAUGAGCUUGAAAAGGUUGCGGUUAGCUGUUGAUGAUCUACUUGUUAGAUUUGCCGAAAAGUUUGCAACUCAGAAACUGAAACACCUGUUUCUUUUGAAUAAUUGUGACAUGGCCAUCUCUAUCCUGAAGGAAGCUGGUGAAGAAGCAAAAGAACUGCGAAGAUAUUUUGAAGAGAAGCUGGAAAGUAACCUGGUGUCAUUUGUGGAUGAAUUGCUCAUGGAGUAUUUUGGUGAUUUAAUUAAAUUUGUGAAGAACCACAUUUCCGAAGACCUAAUUUCUUACACUGAGUGCCCAAACAUUGCUGAUGUUGAGCCGGUUGUGAAGAACUUCGCCGUGAAGUGGAGAACUGCUCUAGAGCUCAUGCACAAUGAAGUUGUAACUUGUUGCAGUAACUUUGUGUCUGGUAUGGCGAUUCUAAAAGCAGCAAUGGCUCAGUUGCUUAAUGACUACAACAGACUCUCAGAAUGUGUGAAGAUGAUCCCAGGUGGAUCUUCUUUGAACAGGAAUCUGGUUUCUAUCACCUCGAUUUCAUACGAAAUCAGGAAAUAUUCAAGAACACUCUAGUUACUUGAAUAGCAUGGCAGCCACGAACGUAUCCUACGCCUCUGUGUAAUUGAGGCUCAAAUAAAUGAUUGCGGAUGGACUCUCAGGAUCAAAGCUGGAGAGGAACUUGUGCUCUGUCAAGCAAUAAAGAGCUGAAAAAUACAUCAGUGUUGAUAUUUUUUAAUCCCUGUACCAAAUAAUGUCACUUGUAGUUGGAUUUCAACAUUAGGCAAUAGUGCAAAUUAGGAUAUUAUUUAUUUUUUCUUAUAGCUUAUUUUAUUGGAUAUACUAUCGCUGAAAGUUGUGGACAAAAUGAUACUCGUCAAUUAUGUCCUAGUCACAGUUUAUUCCUGAAUUUGUUUUACUUACUGGGGCUGUAGUUAUAUUAGUUUUUCAUGAAGAGAAAUCAUUGUUGUAGGUACAGAUCAAAGUUAAAAUGACGGGUAAGAUUUUAUUAUUAUUAAAUUUGCUCUUCUACUUCAUUAAUAGUAUAAUAGAUUCUCCUGUUUUAAUUAUGAAUUUAUUCCUUUAUGAUUUGGUCACAGGAAAAUGUAAAACAAAAUCU